This 164-nucleotide ribosomal RNA is filed under the name Clusia minor. RNAcentral's name for it is "5.8S ribosomal RNA". It matches the Rfam family "5.8S ribosomal RNA". From Rfam's summary of the family: 5.8S ribosomal RNA (5.8S rRNA) is a component of the large subunit of the eukaryotic ribosome. It is transcribed by RNA polymerase I as part of the 45S precursor that also contains 18S and 28S rRNA. The record is from RNAcentral. Lineage: Eukaryota; Viridiplantae; Streptophyta; Magnoliopsida; Malpighiales; Clusiaceae.
AAAACGACUCUCGGCAACGGAUAUCUCGGCUCUCGCAUCGAUGAAGAACGUAGCGAAAUGCGAUACUUGGUGUGAAUUGCAGAAUCCCGUGAACCAUCGAGUCUUUGAACGCAAGUUGCGCCCAAAGCCUUCUGRUUGAGGGCACGUCUGCCUGGGUGUCACRC